This 855-nucleotide ribosomal RNA is filed under the name uncultured bacterium. Its description in RNAcentral is "bacterial SSU rRNA". It matches the Rfam family "Bacterial small subunit ribosomal RNA", at positions 524 to 1381 of the family's 1533-position model. The record is from RNAcentral.
UACAUAGGGUGCAAGCGUUGUCCGGAAUUAUUGGGCGUAAAGAGCUCGUAGGUGGUUCGAUACGUCGGAUGUGAAAAUCAGGGGCUCAACCCCUGACCUGCAUUCGAUACGGUCGAGCUAGAGUGUGGUAGGGGAGACUGGAAUUCCUGGUGUAGCGGUGGAAUGCGCAGAUAUCAGGAGGAACACCGAUGGCGAAGGCAGGUCUCUGGGCCAUUACUGACACUGAGGAGCGAAAGCGUGGGGAGCGAACAGGAUUAGAUACCCUGGUAGUCCACGCCGUAAACGGUGGGCGCUAGUUGUGCGAACCUUCCACGGUUUGUGCGACGCAGCUAACGCAUUAAGCGCCCCGCCUGGGGAGUACGAUCGCAAGAUUAAAACUCAAAGGAAUUGACGGGGCCCCGCACAAGCAGCGGAGCAUGCGGCUUAAUUCGACGCAACGCGAAGAACCUUACCAAGGCUUGACAUAUACAGGAAUACGGCAGAGAUGUCGUAGCCGCAAGGUCUGUAUACAGGUGGUGCAUGGUUGUCGUCAGCUCGUGUCGUGAGAUGUUGGGUUAAGUCCCGCAACGAGCGCAACCCUCGUUCUGUGUUGCCAGCAUUUAGUUGGGGACUCACAGGAGACUGCCGGGGUUAACUCGGAGGAAGGUGGGGAUGACGUCAAAUCAUCAUGCCCCUUAUGUCUUGGGCUGCACGCAUGCUACAAUGGCUGGUACAAACGGCUGCAAUACCGCAAGGUGGAGCGAAUCCGAGAAAGCCAGUCUCAGUUCGGAUUGGGGUCUGCAACUCGACCCCAUGAAGUCGGAGUUGCUAGUAAUCGUAGAUCAGCAACGCUACGGUGAAUACGUUCCCGGGGCU